Molecule: unclassified non-coding RNA, 236 nt
Filed under: Hevea brasiliensis (rubber tree)
Lineage: Eukaryota; Viridiplantae; Streptophyta; Magnoliopsida; Malpighiales; Euphorbiaceae
Source: RNAcentral
GGACAAUCUACUCUGUCACAGUGCCAGUCAGACGGGUGAGAUCAGAAUACCAGGUAGAGGAUCCAACUGGGACAAUAACAAAUGUUGAGUACAAAGACACUGGAGAUAAUUCUGGUUCAGUUGAUGUCAAGUUCGACUUUUACAUUCCAGACGAGAAUUUCAAUGACUAUGGUAUGUGAAACCUGUACCUUUGCCUAACCGGAAAGUGGGUUGAAAUGUCUUGUUUGUCUGGCAUU